This 506-nucleotide ribosomal RNA is filed under the name Aedes omorii. RNAcentral describes it as "eukaryotic LSU rRNA". It matches the Rfam family "Eukaryotic large subunit ribosomal RNA", at positions 297 to 664 of the family's 3401-position model. Lineage: Eukaryota; Metazoa; Arthropoda; Insecta; Diptera; Culicidae. The record is from RNAcentral.
UGGAGUACUCCUUCUAAGCUAAUAUCACCACGAGACCGAUAGCGAACAAGUACCGUGAGGGAAAGUUGAAAAGCACUCUGAAUAGAGAGUCAAAAAGUACGUGAAACUGCCUAGGGCUCAAGCCCGUUGAACUCGAUUAUCCGAGCGGAAACAUUCACCUGCGGUUGGCCGGCUUCCCGGCCGGCAGGCCGCAGGGCACUUGUCUCCCGCGUCCACGAGGACAUUGCGAUCCAUUACGAAACAGCUUUCGCGUCGCAAGACGCAAGGUCGCCCGACAGUUGCCCCUUGGUGCCGGUUGCUUGCCCCACAGUAGCGACGCUCAGUUCUGAAGGCCUGUGCCGCGAGGUGGGGCUUACUGCACGUGGUGUUUGCAGUCGGGCGCGUGAUGGAUUUCCGCGUACACCGUCGGUCUUCCCGCAAUGGGCCGGCGGACUGUCGAUCGGCAAUGAUAAAAUCGAGGUACCUCCGGGACCCGUCUUGAAACACGGACAAUAAAUUCACACACA